This 473-nucleotide ribosomal RNA is filed under the name uncultured bacterium. RNAcentral's name for it is "bacterial SSU rRNA". It matches the Rfam family "Bacterial small subunit ribosomal RNA", at positions 335 to 802 of the family's 1533-position model. The record is from RNAcentral.
ACUCCUACGGGAGGCAGCAGUAGGGAAUCUUCCACAAUGGGCGCAAGCCUGAUGGAGCAACACCGCGUGAGUGAAGAAGGGUUUCGGCUCGUAAAGCUCUGUUGUUAAAGAAGAACACGUAUGAGAGUAACUGUUCAUACGUUGACGGUAUUUAACCAGAAAGUCACGGCUAACUACGUGCCAGCAGCCGCGGUAAUACGUAGGUGGCAAGCGUUAUCCGGAUUUAUUGGGCGUAAAGAGAGUGCAGGCGGUUUUCUAAGUCUGAUGUGAAAGCCUUCGGCUUAACCGGAGAAGUGCAUCGGAAACUGGAUAACUUGAGUGCAGAAGAGGGUAGUGGAACUCCAUGUGUAGCGGUGGAAUGCGUAGAUAUAUGGAAGAACACCAGUGGCGAAGGCGGCUACCUGGUCUGCAACUGACGCUGAGACUCGAAAGCAUGGGUAGCGAACAGGAUUAGAUACCCUGGUAGCGAGUAG